AGCUUUGCGCAGUGGCAGUAUCGUAGCCAAUGAGGUUUAUCCGAGGCGCGAUUAUUGCUAAUUGAAUGAAUGAAUAUGGACUUACAAAUUUUGGCUUUGAAAUUAAAGCAGCUUUUAUCUUUUGUAUCCAAGAAGAGUUU
Panthera uncia (snow leopard) is the source of this 140-nucleotide small nuclear RNA. RefSeq annotates it as U4 spliceosomal RNA. The record is from RefSeq and is a predicted model, not a curated record. NCBI's taxonomy places the organism in Eukaryota, Metazoa, Chordata, Mammalia, Carnivora, Felidae. The transcript has a single exon.